GUCCUAGCCGUAAACGGUGCACGUUUGCUGUAAAAGGAAUCGACCCCUUUUUGUGGCGUAGCUAACGCGUUAAACGUGCCGCCUGGGAAGUACGGUCGCAAGAUUAAAACUAAAAGAAAUUGACGGGGGCCUGCACAAGCGGUGGAGUAUGUGGCUCAAUUCGAUGCAACGCGAAGAACCUUACCUGGCCUUGACAUGCAUAUAGUAGAAGGGUGAAAGCCUGACGAGGUAGCAAUACCAGUAUGCACAGGUGCUGCAUGGCUGUCGU
Molecule: ribosomal RNA, 268 nt
Filed under: uncultured bacterium
Lineage: Bacteria
Description: partial 16S ribosomal RNA
Rfam family: Bacterial small subunit ribosomal RNA
Source: RNAcentral